GACGAACGCUGGCGGCGCGCUUAACACAUGCAAGUCGAACGGAAAGGCCUGCUUUCCCUUGUGGAUUGCGGGUACUCGAGUGGCGAACGGGUGAGUAACACGUGAGUGAUCUGCCCCCAACUUGGGUAUAAGCCUGGGAAACUGGGUCUAAUUCCCGAUAGGACUGCAGGGUGGUGCCUGUGGUGGAAAACGAUCUUCUAGUGGUUGGGGAUGAGCUCGCGGCCUAUCAGCUUGUUGGUGGGGUAAUGGCCUACCAAGGCGGCGACGGGUAGCCGGCCUGGGAGGGUGGACGGCCACAUUGGGACUGAGAUACGGCCCCGACUCCUACGGGAGGCAGGAGUGGGGAAUAUUGCACAAUGGGCGGAAGCCUGAUGCAGCGACGCCGCGUGGGGGAUGACGGCCUUGGGGUUGUAAACUCCUUUCGACCGCGAGGAAGCCACCUGGUUGGAAGGGUGGUGACGGUAGUGGUAGAAGAAGCACCGGCUAACUACGUG
Molecule: ribosomal RNA, 494 nt
Filed under: uncultured bacterium
Lineage: Bacteria
Description: partial 16S ribosomal RNA
Rfam family: Bacterial small subunit ribosomal RNA
Source: RNAcentral